AGUAAUCUCUGGAAGCAUCAGAAGCUGCUGUCCAUCGACCUGGACAAAGUGGUGUUACCCAACUUCCGAUCGAGUCGCCUCAAGUGCGACCCCUCUCCCCCGGAGAAAGUGUGGUGCCUGGGACAUUCCUGGAGGGAUCAUGCCUGGCCGCUAUAACCAGGAAGUGGGUCAGACCAUUCCUGUCUUCGCCUUCCUGGGAGCCAUGGUGGUCCUGGCCUUCUUUGUGGUACAGAUCAACAAGGCCAAGAGCAGGCCGAAGCGGAGGAAGCCCAGGGUGAAGCGCCCCCAGCUCAUGCAGCAGGUGCACCCCCCGAAGACCCCGUCGGUGUGACCAGAGACUGACCACGCGAGCCGCCAUGGGCAGGUGCAGCUGUGAGGGCCGCCUCCGUGCAGGGCUCCAGCGGCCGUGCCGAAUGAGCCCCCCGUCCUGUGAUGCUCGGCCCAGCCGGAGGGACUCCUGCUCAGCCUCAGGUGGCUUCACGCUGGGCAGCUGUGAGCACCAAAGACCCCGGGGGGAGCUGCCGAGGCGGCCCGCGCUGCCAGCCUGAGGGGAAAGACGCACUUCCCGGACCGGCGGCACGCCCUGACCAAGCUGAAGUCUGCUUGUUAAUGGCUGUUUUCUAUAUUUAUUGUUGGGGAAAAGUCACUUUAAAGACUUGUGCUAUUGGAAGCGAAGCUAUUUUUUGUGUCAGUGGAAUGCAGUUUUUACUAUUACGUCGUCGCGGAAGAACACAGAUUCCAUGAUCUCCUUUUGGAUGAGCGACAGACUGGUUUGAGGAAACCUGCACAAAUCAGAAACAUAGACCUUCGCUUUAUUUUUAUAACUGUCCACUGCCAUCUGUUUUGUAAUUGGGGAUCUCGAUUUCACCGUUGUGGGUGAAGACGGCAUCCCCUGUGUGACGCUGACGGGCCUGCGCUGGGGUCUUUUUCCACCUCUGCUUUUCUCUUUGAUGACAACCUGGAAUGAGUUCUGAACCAGCCUGUCCCUUUUUUAUUGAGAUAAAAUUCACAUACCAUAAAAUUCUCCAUUUUAAAGCAUA
Oryctolagus cuniculus (rabbit) is the source of this 1040-nucleotide non-coding RNA. Lineage: Eukaryota; Metazoa; Chordata; Mammalia; Lagomorpha; Leporidae. The record is from RefSeq and is a predicted model, not a curated record.